GCCCUGACCUGGUCCGCGCAGUGAGGCCGACAGCACCUGGCCAGAGCUUCCCGCCCCCCCGCCUCCUCCGUCUCCAAACUCCUGCUCUUCUCCUCGCUACCUCUUCCACCCACUUCUUGCGGAAUUCCCGCUGUUUACUGGAUGCCCGGUCCCCUCGGACAUCGGAACCGGGACCUCCAGCCUCCUUGCUCGGCUUUGUAAAGCGCCGGGCGUUGAGCGAUUUGCGCUUGAGUCCCACCUCCUCGCGAACCAGCUUUGUGGCCCCGCGUGCCAGCCCGUGUCCUCCUGGGCUCGGCGGCGUUCGGCUUUAUCCACCUCGCAGUUACUCAGUGAACCAGACACGAUAAGAGGCGUGAAAGGGUUUUGCAAACUGUUCUUUAUACAGCGACCAGUCACUGUCGUUAACAGCUAAUGCUGAGAGCUAAGGGCUUUACGCGGAUUAUCUAAGUCUUAUACCCGCCCUAUAGGCGAUAAGCUCACACCUCACCCUGCUUGCUCCAGUGGUUAUGGCCAGUGAGAAUGUGCGGUGUUGCAUUGCAGAAGAAGCUAGGAAAGCUCAUCUGGCCUCCUGUUCCAGUGCUUCCAGGGGAUCCACGUUCAGAAGCUGACUCUGCAGGCAAGACCGACGUUAUUUUCCUGGUGGCUGUGUUCAAAACCACCCAAAGGGUUUGAGAAAUACUUUAAGAGGAGUGGAAGGAACACAAACUGAGAAACAUCAACAGCACCAAAAAAAGAGACUGGUGAACUAGAGAAUGCUGAGUCUGGAGGAGACGGAGGCAGGAGAGGAGGGAAGCAGGAUAACGUUGCCUGGUGGAGGCGGAUGCAGAAGGGGGGACUUCCCCUGGGAUGACGAGGAUUUCCGCAGUCUGGCCCUUUUGGGGGCAGGCGUUGCCAUGGGAUUUUUCUACCUCUAUUUUCGAGAUCCUGGAAGAGAAAUCACGUGGAAGCACUUUGUACAGUAUUACCUGGCCAGAGGUCUGGUGGACCGGCUGGAAGUCGUGAACAAACAAUCUGUGCGUGUUAUUCCUGCCCCUGGGACCUCUUCUGAAACGUAGCUGGGUGCGAAGAAUCAAAUUGGAAAUUAUGGAAUUUGUGAAUUUCCUGAAGAAUCCCAAGCAGUAUCAGGACUUAGGAGCAAAAAUUCCAAAGGGAGCCAUGCUCACUGGUCCUCCUGGUACCGGCAAGACCCUUCUUGCCAAAGCAACUGCAGGGGAGGCCACUGUGCCCUUCAUCACUGUGAACGGGUCUGAGUUCCUGGAAAUGUUUAUUGGCGUUGGGCCAGCAAGGGGUUCAACUCUGCCACCAACGUCGUGGUGUUGGCUGGCACCAACCGCCCUGACGUCCUGGACCCGGCCCUCAUGCGGCCUGGCCGGUUUCAUCGCCAGAUUUACACUGGUCCCCCUUACAUUAAAGGCAGGUCCUCCAUCUUUAAGGUCCACCUGCGCCCACUGAAGCUGGACAAGAGCCUCAAUAAGGACACCCUGGCGAGGAAGCUGGCAGUGCUCACCCCAGGCUUCCCUGAUGUCUGUUUACAUACCAAAGUUAAAAAGCUGGAAUGUUACCAAGACUGCUUUCUUCUGCCCAUAGACGGGGAUGACUCAGCACUACCCCUCAACAGAGAUGACUUUGAUGACUCUGCCCCUCAGCAGGGCUUACUAAGCACUACCCCUUAACAGGGAUGACUCCGCACUGCCCCUCAACAGGGAUGACUCAGCAGAGAUGACUCAGCACUGUCCCUUAGCAGGGAUGACACAGCAAGGAUGACUCAGCACUGCCCCUCAGCAAGGAUGACUCAGCACUGCCGCUCAACAGACAUGACUCAGGGAUGGCUUAGUACUGCCCCUCAGCAGGGAUGACUCAGCACCGCCUCUCAACAGGGAUGACUCAGCAGGGAUGACUCAGCACCGCCCCUCAACAGGCAUGACUCUGCAGAGAUGACUCAGCACUGUCCCUUAGCAGGGAUGACACAGCAAGGAUGACUCAGCACUGCCCCUCAGCAAGGAUGACUCAGCACUGCCGCUCAACAGGGAUGACUCAGGGAUGGCUUAGUACUGCCCCUCAACAGGGAUGACUCAGCAGGGAUGACUCAGCACCGCCCCUCAACAGGCAUGACUCUGCAGAGAUGACUUAGUACUGCCCCUCAGCAGGGAUGACUCAGUACUGCCCCUCAGCAGGGAUGACUCAGCACUGCCCCUCAACAGGGAUGACUCAGCAGGGAUGACUCAGCACUGUCCCUUAGCAGUGAUGACACAGCAAGGAUGACUCAGCACUGCCCCUCAGCAAGGAUGACUCAGCACUGCCGCUCAACAGACAUGACUCAGGGAUGGCUUAGUACUGCCCCUCAGCAGGGAUGACUCAGCACCGCCCCUCAACAGGGAUGACUCAGCACUGCCCCUCAACAGGGAUGACUCAGCAGGGAUGACUCAGCAGUGUCCCUUAGCAGCGAUGACACAGCAAGGAUGACUCAGCACUGCCCCUCACCAAGGAUGACUCAGCACUGCCGCUCAACAGACAUGACUCAGGGAUGGCUUAGUACUGCCCCUCAGCAGGGAUGACUCAGCAGGGAUGACUCAGCACCACCCCUCAACAGGGAUGACUCAGCAGGGAUGACUCAGCACUGCCCCUCAACAGGGAUGACUGCAGGGAUGACUCAGCACUGCCCCUCAGCAGGGAUGACUCAGCACUGCCCCUCAGCAGGGAUGACUCAGCAGGGAUGACUCAGCACCGCCCCUCAACAGGCAUGACUCUGCAGAGAUGACUCAGCACUGCCCCUCAGCAGGGAUGGCUCAGCAGGGAUGACUCAGCAUUGCCCCUCAACAGGGAUGACUCAGCAGACUCAGCAGGGAUGACUCAGCACUGCCCCUCAACAGACAUGACUCAGCAGGGAUGACUCAGCACCGCCCCUCAGCAAGGAUGACUCAGCAGGGAUGAUUCAGCAGAGAUAACUCGGGGAUGACUCUGAUUGUCCUUCAGCAGGGAUGAGUCUGUUUUGCUCCGAUGGAAGCAUCUGUAGUGUCCAUCAGCAGGUGAAUGGCCAAAGUGGUAUAUACUGUAGUCACAUUCAGCUAUAAAAAGGAAUAAAGUAUCGAUGCAUGCCACAACAUGGGUGAACCUAGAAAAUACUGAUCUAAAUGCAAGAAGCCAGGCACAAAAGGCCACAUAGUAUAUGUUCCCAUUUAUGUGAAAUGUGCAGAAUAAUAAUAAAAAUGUAUAGAAUAGCAAAUCUGUAGGGACAGACAUGAGGUGAGUGGUUGCCAGAAGUGGAAAUGGGAGUUAACUAUAAAUUGCACAGGGUACCUUACAGAGAUGAUGGAAAUGUCCUAAAACUAGAUUAUGGCAAUAGUUGCACUACGUGAUCAGUUUAUUAAAAAUCGUUGAUGUGUGUGUGUAAAAUGGGUGGAUUUUAUGGUUUAUAAAUUAUACCUUAAUAAAGGUUAACAAAAAAUGUGGCU
Long non-coding RNA from Homo sapiens (human), 3452 nucleotides. Ensembl annotates it as AFG3 like matrix AAA peptidase subunit 1, pseudogene. Its record names the gene AFG3L1P. The record is from Ensembl. NCBI's taxonomy places the organism in Eukaryota, Metazoa, Chordata, Mammalia, Primates, Hominidae.